This 72-nucleotide transfer RNA is filed under the name Ovis aries (sheep). It matches the Rfam family "tRNA". From Rfam's summary of the family: Transfer RNA (tRNA) molecules are approximately 80 nucleotides in length. Their secondary structure includes four short double-helical elements and three loops (D, anti-codon, and T loops). Lineage: Eukaryota; Metazoa; Chordata; Mammalia; Artiodactyla; Bovidae. The record is from Rfam by way of RNAcentral.
UCCCUGGUGGUCCAGUGGCUAAGCCUCCACACUCCCAGUGCAGGGGCCCAGGUUCAAUCCCUGGUCAGGGAA